Molecule: ribosomal RNA, 488 nt
Filed under: Pantoea stewartii
Lineage: Bacteria; Pseudomonadati; Pseudomonadota; Gammaproteobacteria; Enterobacterales; Erwiniaceae
Description: bacterial SSU rRNA
Rfam family: Bacterial small subunit ribosomal RNA
Source: RNAcentral
GCGGCAGGCCUAACACAUGCAAGUCGGACGGUAGCACAGAGGAGCUUGCUCCUCGGGUGACGAGUGGCGGACGGGUGAGUAAUGUCUGGGAAACUGCCCGAUGGAGGGGGAUAACUACUGGAAACGGUAGCUAAUACCGCAUAACGUCGCAAGACCAAAGUGGGGGACCUCCGGGCCUCACACCAUCGGAUGUGCCCAGAUGGGAUUAGCUUGUAGGCGGGGUAACGGCCCACCUAGGCGACGAUCCCUAGCUGGUCUGAGAGGAUGACCAGCCACACUGGAACUGAGACACGGUCCAGACUCCUACGGGAGGCAGCAGUGGGGAAUAUUGCACAAUGGGCGCAAGCCUGAUGCAGCCAUGCCGCGUGUAUGAAGAAGGCCUUCGGGUUGUAAAGUACUUUCAGCGGGGAGGAAGGUGGUGAGGUUAAUAACCUCAGCAAUUGACGUUACCCGCAGAAGAAGCACCGGCUAACUCCGUGCCAGCAGCC